AGCCUCAGCCAAAUCACCAAGCAGCUCAAGAGCGGUUACUCACUGAAGAUAACCAGAGCUGAGCUUGGUCAGUACCUGGAUGGGGGACCACACGGGAAAACUAGAUUGCUGCUGGAA
RNAcentral lists this ribosomal RNA (117 nucleotides) under Danio rerio (zebrafish). Lineage: Eukaryota; Metazoa; Chordata; Actinopteri; Cypriniformes; Danionidae. The record is from RNAcentral.